RNAcentral lists this long non-coding RNA (640 nucleotides) under Betta splendens (Siamese fighting fish). RNAcentral's name for it is "lncRNA (ENSBSLG00000020268.1)". Lineage: Eukaryota; Metazoa; Chordata; Actinopteri; Anabantiformes; Osphronemidae. The record is from RNAcentral.
AUGAUCCCGAACCAAAACUGGACUUCCGCCAUUUCCCCCCUCUCACUCUCCGUGAACAGACCAACACGGCAGCGCCCAAGUCCUUCCAUAGAAAUAGUUCAGUUCUUAGGUGUUCUAACAACACCAAAGUCUAUUCACUUUAACAAGGGAUCAACAAGUGAGAAUUUGUGGGUCACUUUUAUUUUUAACGGACCGGUGCCAGAAACACUGCCUCAGCAUUUCAUACGUAUGUGCAUUUCAAACGAGGGUGCAUACAAUGCUGGAUUUGUUUCACGGCUCCUGUUGGAAAAAAAGGACAUAUUCCUAAAGUCCGUCAUCCACUCACUGAAUACCUUUUGUUUUGAUGAGGUGAUGGUGAGGACAGCCACAGUUUCCAUCUGGUAGAGGACUGCUUCCGCUCAGUCUUCCAAAUAGUGAUGAGAACAAGGAUCACCACAUCUCCCUGUUUACCCUACUUUCAUGCAUUUCGUCUGCAAGGCCCUGCAAAAGCUUCUGGCCUCAAACCCCCAGACUUCUUAAUUAACUCAGUAACCUAUACAUUGCACAUUGGAGUGUGAAGGUAACAGUUUGUUCUAGCUUUGGAGUAGUGGUGUAUUUUUUUGGUUUACAAUAAAGUUGGCUUUAACUAUUAUGUAUUUCA